AUUGAACGCUGGCGGCAGGCUUAACACAUGCAAGUCGAGCGGUAACAGAUCUAGCUUGCUAGAUGCUGACGAGCGGCGGACGGGUGAGUAACGCGUAGAAAACUGCCCAGUAGUGGGGGAUAGCCCAGAGAAAUUUGGAUUAAUACCGCAUACGCCCUACGGGGGAAAGGGGGCUUCGGCUCUCGCUAUUGGAUGUGUCUGCGUGGGAUUAGCUAGUUGGUGAGGUAAGGGCUCACCAAGGCGACGAUCCCUAGCUGGUCUGAGAGGAUGAUCAGCCACACUGGGACUGAGACACGGCCCAG
RNAcentral lists this ribosomal RNA (302 nucleotides) under uncultured bacterium. RNAcentral's name for it is "bacterial SSU rRNA". It matches the Rfam family "Bacterial small subunit ribosomal RNA", at positions 30 to 334 of the family's 1533-position model. The record is from RNAcentral.